Long non-coding RNA from Labrus mixtus (cuckoo wrasse), 1922 nucleotides. RefSeq lists it as uncharacterized. NCBI's taxonomy places the organism in Eukaryota, Metazoa, Chordata, Actinopteri, Labriformes, Labridae. The transcript has 10 exons. The record is from RefSeq and is a predicted model, not a curated record.
AUGGUAAGACUUCUUUCUCUCUACUCUCUCUAAACUAUUAUCGUUUAUUGAAGUGGCAGACUUGUACAAACUAGUAUUGGAUAGCUUUUUCCUUCACACUAUAGUUCUUUUGCAUUUCAGAUUAUUUAUUUAAUGCGUGUUUAAAAAUUACACCGGUGUGAAGGCUAGCCGGUAAUAUGCGGGGUUGCCUACCCAGAGCAGCACGGGCCAAAGCUGCUCGCAAUCCUUCACCAUCUGCCUCCUAAACAGUUUAAUAUCAACUUUUUAGUGACUUUAAUAACAUAGUCGAUGUGUUUUAACAUUCUUGCACUUGAUAUUUGUAGAUGAUUUGUUUCUGAACGCAUUUUAAGACACUACUUUUUGAAAUGGCCGCAGCUCAUUCUGCGCAGCUGCACCAGCGUCUCUCAAUGAUGAGAAUACACAGACCUGUACUGAAUGACUGUGAUUGUACUUUUUAUACUUCUGAUGUGAGACGCUUUCGAUAAAGUAGUGACUGUUUUCACCCCACUGUGACCACGCUUGCACCCGAGUGGUCACGUGUUGGCCUGACACAGGAAGUCGACCUGCUUGCAGACCAUGCUCAAACUAGACUCUGCACCUUUUUUUUUUUUUUUUUUUUUAUCUUAGAUGGCGAAGGAAGAUUAUGAAACUGCAUCAUGCAAAGGUGCAAGAAGAUCGUGGGAAACACACCACAAAGAUGUUAGCGAGGGUGAUCAAGGAUGACGGGAGCUACCUUAGCAGGCUGUUCUGCAAGCUGACCUCUCCAGCGUGGCUCAUCUGAUCUCUACUAUGGGACAUCGACAAGAAGUUUCCAGGAGGCCUUGUGGACCUCUCAACAUGGCUGUCACUGGAGACAGAAGACUGGUCCUCAGGAAGUCUCCGUGGUAAGUUUGUGAUAUUCAGGCGUUUUAUUUCUUUUCACAAUGCCGUUCCAGUGAUGAUGAACUUAGCUCACUUUGAACCGAUGUGAAACGACACGAACAACUGAGGAACUACUUUCCACAAUAACAACAUUUUGGUCGGACCUUAUUUGGCUGUCAACUUACAAUGUCCUUUCUAUCAACAGAUUUGUUCCCUGCGUUGGCAGCCGGAUGAUGGUGUCCUUGAUUGAGGUUCUUGUCUUUGGAACAAUUCAGAAGAUGACUCUUCUCAUAGCGCUUGGAAAGGUGUUUGCAAAGUGCCAAGCUGCCUGACAAUUCAGAACCUCUUCAUGAUUUAUCUGACAUGCAAUGCCUUCAAGGGAAGAUGUUCAGUGACAACUACUUGAUCUUCAUCUCCCUCAGAAGUGUCCAGUUCCUGCCAGAGACGAGGCGUGAGGAUUCUAUUUAUCUCCAUCUGGCUCAGUGCACACCUGGAACUGAUGCAGUCCGGCACUGAGGACCCUGAACACCAGUCAGGUGUAAGGUGACCUGCUGUGGUUCUGAUGGAGACUGAGAACAAAUCACUGACAAGGCCCUUCCUGACUGUCUUCAGACAUCUAUCAUUAGCAUGUUAUCAAAAAGAAGCCGCAACUAAGAGGUCUGGCUUUGCUUUCAAAAUGGACUUAAAAGUAUAUAUCUUUUUUUUUUCCUUGCAGGAUGAAGUCAACAAUCCAUGGUUUGCAUGUGGUGAGUAUUUUAAGAGCCUCAUAAAGUCUAUCGCUGAAGUGAUGAGUUACUUAUUACCGCCCCAGUCUGAAGAUUCAUGACUGAUUGGUAUCCCCUCUGAUCAAACCACUAUGAAAGUUUUCAAUUGUAUACAUGUGUUGGGAUGAGUUUUUAAAUGUUUGUCUGUUCUCUUUAUAGUCCAGUUGGCUUUGCUGCUUUCUGAGGAGUGUUGGUAAGAAUAUAGUUUUUUUAUUUAAGCUUCUCUUGAUGUGAUGAGUUACUUAUUACCGCCCCAGUCUGAAAAUUCAUGACUGAUUGGUAUCCCCUCUGAUCAAA